This 71-nucleotide transfer RNA is filed under the name Marmota monax (woodchuck). RNAcentral describes it as "tRNA.Thr". Lineage: Eukaryota; Metazoa; Chordata; Mammalia; Rodentia; Sciuridae. The record is from RNAcentral.
GUGGUUGUGGCUCAGUGGAAGGGUGCUCACCUAGUAUGUGUGAGGUGCUGGGUUCAAUCCUCAGCAUCUCA